CGCUGGCGGCAGGCCUAACACAUGCAAGUCGAGCGGUAGAGAGAAGCUUGCUUCUCUUGAGAGCGGCGGACGGGUGAGUAAUGCCUAGGAAUCUGCCUAGUGGUGGGGGAUAACGUUCGGAAACGGACGCUAAUACCGCAUACGUCCUACGGGAGAAAGCGGGGGACCUUAGGGCCUCGCGCCAUUAGAUGAGCCUAGGUCGGAUUAGCUAGUUGGUGAGGUAAUGGCUCACCAAGGCGACGAUCCGUAACUGGUCUGAGAGGAUGAUCAGUCACACUGGAACUGAGACACGGUCCAGACUCCUACGGGAGGCAGCAGUGGGGAAUAUUGGACAAUGGGCGAAAGCCUGAUCCAGCCAUGCCGCGUGUGUGAAGAAGGUCUUCGGAUUGUAAAGCACUUUAAGUUGGGAGGAAGGGUAGUAACUUAAUACGUUGCUACUUUGACGUUACCGACAGAAUAAGCACCGGCUAACUUCGUGCC
RNAcentral lists this ribosomal RNA (480 nucleotides) under Pseudomonas sp. AU. RNAcentral's name for it is "bacterial SSU rRNA". It matches the Rfam family "Bacterial small subunit ribosomal RNA", at positions 34 to 509 of the family's 1533-position model. The record is from RNAcentral. Lineage: Bacteria; Pseudomonadati; Pseudomonadota; Gammaproteobacteria; Pseudomonadales; Pseudomonadaceae.